UAGACCGCCUGGGGAGUACGGCCGCAAGGUUAAAACUCAAAUGAAUUGACGGGGGCCCGCACAAGCGGUGGAGCAUGUGGUUUAAUUCGAUGCAACGCGAAGAACCUUACCUGGUCUUGACAUCCACGGAAGUUUUCAGAGAUGAGAAUGUGCCUUCGGGAACCGUGAGACAGGUGCUGCAUGGCUGUCGUCAGCUCGUGUUGUGAAAUGUUGGGUUAAGUCCCGCAACGAGCGCAACCCUUAUCCUUUGUUGCCAGCGGUUAGGCCGGGAACUCAAAGGAGACUGCCAGUGAUAAACUGGAGGAAGGUGGGGAUGACGUCAAGUCAUCAUGGCCCUUACGACCAGGGCUACACACGUGCUACAAUGGCGCAUACAAAGAGAAGCGACCUCGCGAGAGCAAGCGGACCUCAUAAAGUGCGUCGUAGUCCGGAUUGGAGUCUGCAACUCGACUCCAUGAAGUCGGAAUCGCUAGUAAUCGUGGAUCAGAAUGCCACGGUGAAUACGUUCCCGGGCCUUGUACACACCGCCCGUCACACCAUGGGAGUGGGUUGCAAAAGAAGUAGGUAGCUUAACCUUCGGGAGGGCGCUUACCACUUUGUGAUUCAUGACUGGGGUGAAGUCGUAACAAGGUAACCGUAGGGGAACCUGCGGUUGGAUCACCUCCUUACCUUAAAGAAGC
Molecule: ribosomal RNA, 680 nt
Filed under: Salmonella enterica subsp. enterica serovar Derby
Lineage: Bacteria; Pseudomonadati; Pseudomonadota; Gammaproteobacteria; Enterobacterales; Enterobacteriaceae
Also listed under: 2 other names
Description: bacterial SSU rRNA
Rfam family: Bacterial small subunit ribosomal RNA
Source: RNAcentral